This 233-nucleotide long non-coding RNA is filed under the name Nicotiana benthamiana. RNAcentral describes it as "long non-coding RNA (NBEN_LNC033648)". The record is from RNAcentral. Lineage: Eukaryota; Viridiplantae; Streptophyta; Magnoliopsida; Solanales; Solanaceae.
UGAGUUUCUGUGGAACUUUCUUGUCACACAGGACUCCUGAUGCAAGCCUUCACUUUGACCACCCCGCUCCUAUACGAUGAGUGAUGUCCCCGUCAUAUCUCUCCGUCCCCGUGGAUCACCGACCCAAGAUAACUGACACUGUCCCUCUUGGCGAUGACCUGAGAUUCAAUCAUCACGUCCUUGCCUACUUCGCUCGGCUCGGCGCUAAACUUGCACUCCAGGUAUUCUGUCUU